CCUACGGGAGGCAGCAGUGAGGAAUAUUGGUCAAUGGGCGCGAGCCUGAACCAGCCAAGUAGCGUGAAGGAUGACUGCCCUACGGGUUGUAAACUUCUUUUAUAAAGGAAUAAAGUGAGGCACGUGUGCCUUUUUGUAUGUACUUUAUGAAUAAGGAUCGGCUAACUCCGUGCCAGCAGCCGCGGUAAUACGGAGGAUUCGAGCGUUAUCCUGAUUUUUUUGGUUUAAAGGGAGCGUAGGUGGGAUGGUAAGUCAGUUGUGAAAGUUUGCGGGUCAACCGUAAAAUUGCAAUUGAUACUGGCAGUCUUGAGUACAGUUGAGGUAGGCGGAAUGCGUGGUGGAGCGGUGAAAUGCUUAGAUAUCACGAAGAACUCCGAUUGCGAAGGCAGCUUACUAAACUGCCACUGACAUUGAUGCUCGAAAGUGUGGGUAUCAAACAGGAUUAGAUACCCCUGUAGUC
This 460-nucleotide ribosomal RNA is filed under the name uncultured bacterium. RNAcentral describes it as "partial 16S ribosomal RNA". It matches the Rfam family "Bacterial small subunit ribosomal RNA", at positions 338 to 795 of the family's 1533-position model. The record is from RNAcentral.